Molecule: ribosomal RNA, 427 nt
Filed under: uncultured bacterium
Lineage: Bacteria
Description: partial 16S ribosomal RNA
Rfam family: Bacterial small subunit ribosomal RNA
Source: RNAcentral
UGGGGAAUAUUGCACAAUGGGCGCAAGCCUGAUGCAGCCAUGCCGCGUGUAUGAAGAAGGCCUUCGGGUUGUAAAGUACUUUCAGCGAGGAGGAAGGCGUUGUGGUUAAUAACCGCAACGAUUGACGUUACUCGCAGAAGAAGCACCGGCUAACUCCGUGCCAGCAGCCGCGGUAAUACGGAGGGUGCGAGCGUUAAUCGGAAUUACUGGGCGUAAAGCGCACGCAGGCGGUCUGUCAAGUCGGAUGUGAAAUCCCCGGGCUCAACCUGGGAACUGCAUCCGAAACUGGCAGGCUAGAGUCUUGUAGAGGGGGGUAGAAUUCCAGGUGUAGCGGUGAAAUGCGUAGAGAUCUGGAGGAAUACCGGUGGCGAAGGCGGCCCCCUGGACAAAGACUGACGCUCAGGUGCGAAAGCGUGGGGAGCAAACA